UCGUGAGCUGCACUUUGGGGGAGAAGAGCCACGUGUGGCUCAUGAGCCACGAGUUGGCCACCCCUUUCUUAGAGAUCUAAAAAAUGAUGAAAGUUGUGGAAAAAUAGAAUAAGGAAAUGUCAUUCAUUUCUUCACUAGCAUAACAGCCUCCAACACAGGCACUGAUGCACUGACUUCUAGAAGCAGGGAUUGGAAGGCGAGAACUGUAUCAGUCUCAUCUUUUCAUCUUGAGUGAGGAGGAGAACAAGAACCAGAGCAAAGUGGAACUAAAUUGGAGUAUCAUGAUAGAAACUUUUGGAGGAGAUGAACUUCUGUUAACUCUUCAAGUGAUUCGGUGUGCCAUCAAAGCAGUGCUAGACAGGAAGCCACAAUGAUGAACAUGAUGGCAAGCCUGCACAGGUCAGACAAGAUGUUUAUAACUCAACACACAUACAGCUUCAAUAGCAGCUGUAUUAUCUUGUCUGUCAUUUCUUUUCCACACUGUGAACUCCUGCAGCCUUCCCUUGGGUAUUUUCCACUGUUAUCCCUUGGGUAUUUUCCACCUUAACAUGAGUGCUGAAUAUGGCCAUGCUCAUAGACUCAUAGAUUAUAAGCCACAAGGGACCACUGUGAUCAUCCAGUCUGACCUCCUUUAUAUAACAUUCCACAGCCCUUCCCUGAAUUAAUUCCUAUUUGAACUAAAGCACGUCCUUGAGAAGAAAACUCCAAUCUCAAUGUUAAUGGUGCCAGUGAUGGAGAAUCCAUGACAAGCUUUGGUAAAUUGCUCCAAUAAUGAAUUAUUCUCGCUGUUAAAAAUGUACACCGUAUUUCCCAUCUGAAUUUGUCUAGCUUCAACUUCCAGCCUUUGCAUCUUGUUGCACCUUUUUCUGUUAGUCCAAUAUCAAAUUGUAGUUCCCCAUAUAGGUACUUAGAAAAUGUAAUCAAGUCGCCUCCUAACCUUCUCUUUCAUAAAAUACAUAGGCUGAGCUCCUUGACACUCUCUCAUGUUUUCCAGUCCUAUGAUCAUUCUUGUGGAUCUGGUUUGAACACCGCAGUUUAUCAACAUCCUUCUUGAACUGCAGACAUCAGAACUGGACAUAACACUGCACUAGCUGUCACACUAGAGCCAUCUACAGAGGUCAUUGAUAAAAUAUUCAAUAGGAAAAGGCCAAGAAUUGAUCCCUAGGAAAUCCCAUGAGAAACAUACCUGCUCAAUGAUGAUUCCCAGCUUUAAGACUUGUCAGUUAGCCAGUUUCUAAGCUACUUAAUGUGUGCCAUGUUGUUGUUCUUUCCUUCUAGUUUUUUCAACAAAAUAUCAUGUUGUACCAAGUCAAAUGUUUUAAAGAUGUCUAAAUCUAUUUCAUUAGCAUUAAUAGCAGUAUCAAACAAGUCUCAUCAGAAAAAGAUGUCAAAUCAUAUUGAUCCUUGCAAAACGCAAAUAACUUUAAACUGUCAACAUUUUUGUGAGAUUGUUCUUCCAUUUUUUGACUCAUUCUGAAUUUAACCUAUAUGUCUGCAACACCUAGAAACCAAGUAUGUUUUAUCAGGUAUAUCUUUUUGUUUUGCUAAUAAAAUCACCUUUUU
Molecule: non-coding RNA, 1563 nt
Organism: Pelodiscus sinensis (Chinese soft-shelled turtle)
Lineage: Eukaryota; Metazoa; Chordata; Testudines; Trionychidae
Source: RefSeq, a predicted model, not a curated record